Molecule: transfer RNA, 80 nt
Filed under: Fukomys damarensis (Damara mole-rat)
Lineage: Eukaryota; Metazoa; Chordata; Mammalia; Rodentia; Bathyergidae
Rfam family: tRNA
About the family: Transfer RNA (tRNA) molecules are approximately 80 nucleotides in length. Their secondary structure includes four short double-helical elements and three loops (D, anti-codon, and T loops). Further hydrogen bonds mediate the characteristic L-shaped molecular structure. tRNAs have two regions of fundamental functional importance: the anti-codon, which is responsible for specific mRNA codon recognition, and the 3' end, to which the tRNAs corresponding amino acid is attached (by aminoacyl-tRNA synthetases). tRNAs cope with the degeneracy of the genetic code in two manners: having more than one tRNA (with a specific anti-codon) for a particular amino acid; and 'wobble' base-pairing, i.e. permitting non-standard base-pairing at the 3rd anti-codon position.
Source: Rfam by way of RNAcentral
GGAGAUGUAGCUCAGUGCUAGAGCACCUGAGUUUGAGCUCCAAUUAAAAAAAAAAAAAAAAAUCAAUUUUUUUAUUUCCA